GAUGAACGCUGGCGGCGUGCCUAAUACAUGCAAGUCGAGCGAACAGACGAGAAGCUUGCUCCUCUGACGUUAGCGGCGGACGGGUGAGUAACGCAUGGAUAAUCUACCUAUAAGACUGGGAUCACUUCGGGAAGCCAGAUCUAAUACCAGAUAAUAUAAUGUACCGCAUGAUUCAAUAGAGAAAUGCAGUUUUGCCGUUACUAUUAGAUGGUUCCGCGUCGCAUUAGCUAGUUGGUAAGGUAACGCCUAACCAAGGCGACGAACCGUAGCCGGCCUGAGAGGGUGAUCGGCCACACUGGAACUGAGACACGGUCCAGACCCCUACGGGAGGCAGCAGUAGGGAAUCUUCGGCAAUGGGGGAAAGCCUGCCGGAGCAACGCCGCGUGGGUGAUGAAGGUCUUCGGAUCGUAAACCUCUGUUAUUGGGGAAGAAGAAAUGGAGAAUUAACUAUUCACGUUUUGACGGUACCUAAACAGAAAGCCACGGCUAACUACGUG
Molecule: ribosomal RNA, 497 nt
Filed under: uncultured bacterium
Lineage: Bacteria
Description: partial 16S ribosomal RNA
Rfam family: Bacterial small subunit ribosomal RNA
Source: RNAcentral